Non-coding RNA from Rattus norvegicus (Norway rat), 68 nucleotides. Lineage: Eukaryota; Metazoa; Chordata; Mammalia; Rodentia; Muridae. The record is from Rfam.
GGGGAUUUGGCUCAGUGGUAGAGCGCUUGCCUAGCAAGCACAAGGCCCUGGGUUCGGUCCCCAGCUCA